AUUAGCUUGGUUUUUUAAAAAAGCAAUGUUCUUGUUUUAUCUUUCAGCCCCAGAACUUGCCAGUCAAGAUGAAAAACUUCUUCUAAUGGAAUCCAGCUUGAAAGCUACUCAAGAGCAGCUAACUGAGCAAAUAGCAGAAACAGUUCGCCAAGAACAGAACAGUAGAAAACCCCAGGCAGAGCUGAAGACAGUGACAGAAGGGAUUAUUGCUUCUGAAGAAGAAAAAAAAUGAUUACAAAAUCACCUAUUUUACCGUCUUUUACAACUUCGUUGUAGGAGGUGUGAAAGAGGAGGGAAAUUGUGUUGUUUGAUGGAGAGACUCAAAUUAACAAAGAACUGUGGAAUAUUUCUAGCCAAAAGCCACUGGGGAACUGAUUCCUGCCAACAACCACUGAACUUCGAAGUAGAUCCAUCAGCAACUGGACCCUCAGAUGCGACCCAUGUAUGACACCUUGAUUGGGAUCCUGUGAGAGACCCUCAGGCAGAGCACCUAGUUAAGUCAAACUCAGAUCGCUGACUCCCAGAAACUGUAAGCACUCUCCUGCAUACCUGUCACCAAACCUCCAGGUCAAUCUCACAUUUACUCUUGAAGAAAUGGAGUCGAAGAUGAAAUAGAAAAUAAUUAGAUAAUGAAAUGCUAAUAUAGGAAUUGAAUGUCAGCUGCAGUGCUCAGAAGCAUAAGAUUGUGAUAAAUGUUUUGGAGGAAAAUAGAAAGAAGGCUGUGGUUUGAAACGUCUCAACAAACUUCCAAUCAUGCAAAACUUGAGGGAACGAGGAACAGCAAAGCUUGGCACUUUGGAAGCUUGAUAACAUCACAGCAUGGAAGAAAAGUGGAAGGAAGAACCUGUAUUCUGAUGGAUCAGCUGGUGCCACCCAGAUCAGUAAACUGGCUCAUCUGUUCCUGUGGCCGCCUCCCAGGAACUGACUCAGGGCAAGAGGACAGCUUCAAAUCCCUGUGAUUCCAUCCCUAACUCAACCAAUCAGCAUCCCCUAGUCCCUUACCUGCCAAGCUAUCUUUAAAAAAACCAUAGCACCUGAAUUUUUAAGGAAACUAAUUUGAGGCAGAUCUUAAUAUAAAUCUGGUAUCCUGUGUAGCUGGCUUUGCAUCUAU
This 1111-nucleotide long non-coding RNA is filed under the name Homo sapiens (human). Its description in RNAcentral is "HSALNT0139032". Lineage: Eukaryota; Metazoa; Chordata; Mammalia; Primates; Hominidae. The record is from RNAcentral.